RNAcentral lists this ribosomal RNA (465 nucleotides) under Vreelandella stevensii. Its description in RNAcentral is "partial 16S ribosomal RNA". It matches the Rfam family "Bacterial small subunit ribosomal RNA", at positions 338 to 795 of the family's 1533-position model. Lineage: Bacteria; Pseudomonadati; Pseudomonadota; Gammaproteobacteria; Oceanospirillales; Halomonadaceae. The record is from RNAcentral.
CCUACGGGUGGCAGCAGUGGGGAAUAUUGGACAAUGGGGGGAACCCUGAUCCAGCCAUGCCGCGUGUGUGAAGAAGGCCCUCGGGUUGUAAAGCACUUUCAGUGAGGAAGAACGCCUGGUGGUUAAUACCCAUCAGGAAAGACAUCACUCACAGAAGAAGCACCGGCUAACUCCGUGCCAGCAGCCGCGGUAAUACGGAGGGUGCGAGCGUUAAUCGGAAUUACUGGGCGUAAAGCGCGCGUAGGUGGCUUGAUAAGCCGGUUGUGAAAGCCCCGGGCUCAACCUGGGAACGGCAUCCGGAACUGUCAAGCUAGAGUUCAGGAGAGGAAGGUAGAAUUCCCGGUGUAGCGGUGAAAUGCGUAGAGAUCGGGAGGAAUACCAGUGGCGAAGGCGGCCUUCUGGACUGACACUGACACUGAGGUGCGAAAGCGUGGGUAGCAAACAGGAUUAGAUACCCCAGUAGUC